AUAAAGUUUGUUUUUAUUACCGUGUGACUUUAAAACGUAAAGUUAAAAAAGAAAAAAAAGUGCGCGGGAAAAUUGUUUGUUUUUUUUUUCAAAUUAAAAGAGGAAUGGUACUGGAGGUUUGGUCCGCAUUCCUGAAGGAACCUUUUACUUUGGUUACGACAGAUGAACGGCAGACGGGCCCUAAAAUGUGGGAUUAUUGCAUUCCCCAUCUUUGCAGGAAGUUCCUACCAUUACCACAAAGGGGUUUGCGGAAUUUUUUUUCCAGAAGGCAGCAGAAUUCCAGGUUUGCCAUCGCCGUUAAUUCUCACCGGUAGAGAAGAACAAGGCGGCUGGAAGCGUACCAUUGCUGGCCGGAGUCUGAUAAGGCUUAAAAAGAUGCGUUGGACAGCAUUGGACUAGCCAGCUCGAAGAUCGCACACUAGCAAUUCCACUGCGCAGAACGGUUCUCUCCUGAAGCAGGCAAUACGAGUGAGCUCAUCGUUUUCAUGCAUGUACCUAGCAGUUCCAAGAAGAAUAAAUGAAAAACGACGAAAUAAAUAAAAUUACAAAGUUUUAA
Molecule: long non-coding RNA, 556 nt
Organism: Uranotaenia lowii
Lineage: Eukaryota; Metazoa; Arthropoda; Insecta; Diptera; Culicidae
Exons: 3
Source: RefSeq, a predicted model, not a curated record